This is a long non-coding RNA of Mauremys mutica (yellowpond turtle), 313 nucleotides long. RefSeq lists it as uncharacterized. The transcript has 3 exons. The record is from RefSeq and is a predicted model, not a curated record. Lineage: Eukaryota; Metazoa; Chordata; Testudines; Geoemydidae.
CUUUUCUGAAUGCUGUUUCCUACAUCAGAAAAGAAGGCUGAUCUUGUAGUUAGGGCACUGAACUACAAUUCAAGAGACUGAGAUUCAUUCCCAAACUCUGUCACCAAUUUCCUGUGUGACCUUCCUGUGUGACUGGGUUCCUUCAGAGUGCUCGGACAGAAUUAGCCCAGGGAGUGAGCGGAGUUAGAAAGAGCAAAGACUGGUCUGGUAGGAAGGAGUGCUUACUAUAAGGUCCAUCUCCUUCAUUCAACUGAAUGAUACUACAAAGACAGAGAAGAGACAAACAGGAGUAACAAUUCACAAGCUCACUGAG